AGCAGCCGCGGUAAUUCCAGCUCCAAUAGCGUAUAUUAAAGUUGUUGCAGUUAAAAAGCUCGUAGUUGAAUUUCGGGAUCAAAUUGUUGGUCGUGCCUCGGUACGCACUGGUAUUAUUGGUUCCUACCUUCUGAAGAACCGCGAUGUCAUUAAUUUGGUGUCGUGGGGAAUCAGGACUGUUACUUUGAAAAAUUAGAGUGUUUAAAGCAGGCUUACGCUUGAAUACAUUAGCAUGGAAUAAUGAAAUAGGACGUUUGAUUCUAUUUUGUUGGUUUCUAGGAUUGACGUAAUGAUUAAUAGGGAUAGUUGGGGGCAUUAGUAUUCAAUUGUCAGAGGUGAAUUCUUGGAUUUAUUGAAGACUAACUACUGCGAAAGCA
Molecule: ribosomal RNA, 377 nt
Filed under: uncultured Glomus
Lineage: Eukaryota; Fungi; Glomeromycota; Glomeromycetes; Glomerales; Glomeraceae
Description: SSU rRNA
Rfam family: Eukaryotic small subunit ribosomal RNA
Source: RNAcentral